UGGGGAAUAUUGGGCAAUGGGCGCAAGCCUGACCCAGCAACGCCGCGUGAAUGAUGAAGGUCUUCGGAUUGUAAAGUUCUGUGAUGGGGGACGAAGAAAGUGACGGUACCCCAAUAGCAAGCCUCGGCUAACUACGUGCCAGCAGCCGCGGUAAUACGUAGGGGGCUAGCGUUAUCCGGAUUUACUGGGCGUAAAGGGUGCGUAGGUGGUUUCUUAAGUCAGGAGUGAAAGGCUACGGCUCAACCGUAGUAAGCUCUUGAAACUGGGAAACUUGAGUGCAGGAGAGGAAAGUGGAAUUCCUAGUGUAGCGGUGAAAUGCGUAGAUAUUAGGAGGAACACCAGUAGCGAAGGCGGCUUUCUGGACUGUAACUGACACUGAGGCACGAAAGCGUGGGGAGCAAACAGGAUUAGAUACCCUGGUAGU
This 424-nucleotide ribosomal RNA is filed under the name uncultured Clostridium sp. Its description in RNAcentral is "bacterial SSU rRNA". It matches the Rfam family "Bacterial small subunit ribosomal RNA", at positions 355 to 794 of the family's 1533-position model. Lineage: Bacteria; Bacillati; Bacillota; Clostridia; Eubacteriales; Clostridiaceae. The record is from RNAcentral.